Molecule: long non-coding RNA, 1200 nt
Filed under: Cyanistes caeruleus (blue tit)
Lineage: Eukaryota; Metazoa; Chordata; Aves; Passeriformes; Paridae
Description: lncRNA (ENSCCEG00000012518.1)
Source: RNAcentral
AUGACACCAAAUUUUUCUGCCAGUCAUAAAUGUCUACACAAGUGUUCUGAAAGGCUUAUGUCAAUUGACAUUCUUCUGUUGUCCAGACCUCAUUGGAUGUCCUCAUUGCAGACCACAAGGAGAUGGUUAAGUCUCUCUUCCCCAAGAAAAUUAUUUUUAGAACACAUUAAACUGAGCAUUGCUAUGAAUAAAUUAAUUGUCACAGAGAGUCUUAUACCUUUCUAUUGUUCUUAUACUCUUAGGACUCUGAAAGAGACUACAACAGGACUAGAUCCCCCUGUGCAAGUUCCAAGGUGUCAGGAAGGACUCUUCUUGACUGUGUUUUAAACUCCUCUUCUGGGAGCAAAAGAUUUUGCAAAGCCUGACAACUGCAUGGGAAGAAUUACACAACUGGGACAUCAUAUUCUCCACUCUCUUCUCCACACUCAGCAAAUCAAGGUGCUCACCUGUAUCAGGUGAAUUUAUGAAUCCCAGAAUCACAGAAUGGGUGAUGUAGGAAGGGACCUCAGGGGUUCAUCUGGUCCAACCUUUCUGCUCAGGCAGGGUCAUCCCAGAGCACAUGGCACAGGAUUGUGUCCAGACAGUGCUUGAACAUCCCCGGUGAGGGAGACUCCACAUCCUCUCUGAGAAAUCUGUUCCAGUGCUCAGUCACUGCAAGGUAAGAAGUUCCUCUCAUGUUCAGGUGGGAACUUCCUGUGCAUCAAUUUCAGCCCACCAUUUCUUGUCUUGUUGCUUGACAUUACUGAGCAGAGCCUGGCUCCAUCCUCUUGGCACCUUCACUACCAAUAGAGGUGGAUGAGGUUUCCUCCGUUAUUUCCUCCUCAGUCUGAACAGGCCCAACUCUUAUCAGCCUUUCCUUACAGGAGAGAUGUGCCAGUCCCUUAACCAUCUUUUCCUCCUUUUGCUGGACAUACUCCAGCAGCUGCAUGUCCUGCUUGUUCUAAGGAGACCAGAAUUGGACACAGCACUCCAGAUCUGCCUCACUAGGGCUGAGUAGAGGGGCAGGAUCACCUCCCUCAACCUCCUGGCAGUGCUCUUCUUGAUGUACCCCUGAACACCAUUGGUCUUCUUGGCCACAUGGACAACUGCUGUUCACCAAUAUCCUGUCUGCAUGUCUGUCUUGUAAAACAGAGCAGGACUAUUUUUUCAAUUAAUUAUGUAUUUUGGUUAAAUAAUAAAUAUUAUUUUCUGCCUUUCCCA